CCCUGAGACGCCCAUUGUUCGGUAGUAUUUGUACUUCGUUUUGUCUCAAUGUGUUUCUGCUUCUUUGCUGCCAAGACACCACCCAGAUGUAAACAACUUGUCCGUUCGUUCUGACGACUUCCUUAUUUUGUGAGCUCCCUUCUUGCUCGAACGUGACGUCACAUGUCAACAAAGAUGGCGGCCCAAACAAACACCUCCUGGAGUGCCAGCGUUGUAACGAGGUCAUUCUUAGUGCAAACAAUGCCUUACAGAAUAAUCUUAUACUUUGUGAAGGAACACUAGAUGACCCAACAUGUAUGAUCCCAGAGGUGUACAAUAUUAUGAACCAGGAUGAUGCAUAUCCUGUAUUGGAAGAUGUGGUACAGCCUGCAGUAGAAGAUAUGACUCAACCUGCUGCUGAGUCAACACUCCAAAGUGUUGAGUUUCCUGAAAAAUGUAUGCCAUAAUCAAAGAUAAUGCCAAGCUAAGUGGUUGUGGGAAGCAGGAGCAAUGGCCGUUUUUUGAAACCAUGGAUGAGGUAUACAGCAGUAGAGAUCCUUCAGCGGUACCUCUAGUUGUCAUUGCUUCGUUCUCUGAACUAGCUUCAACUUCAGGGAAGGCCCAAGAGGUCAUCAGCUGCCAUCUAUGACCUUACCACUUUCCUUGGCAACCCCAAUGCACUGUAGAAAUGCUUCUGGAACACCUAUAUCUACAAGCUCUGUGUCAUCUGAAGGAGGUGGCAUAGAGAGAAAGAGACAUGAAGAGUGCAUCAGUGACAAGAAUUCCGAAAGAGAUAGAGAUAUUUUGUUUAAUAACUACAGAAGAGAAUAGUAUAAUGGAAAAUUUCCAGUCCUUACUGUUAGACUCCCAGUGAAAGGCUAAGCAGGAACAAACCAGUAAACUAAUAGAUGAUUUUAGGACAGAAAUAAAAGAAAUGAGAGAAUGUAUAAAAAGAACAGCAGUAAGGAGACAAAGUCAGCAUAUAAUUAGCUAGCCUAACAACCACCAUACAGAGAUUCUGAUGCUAAAACAGCAGAUUUUGCAGACCCAGACACAACUUCUUUCAGUUGUAAGAGUUUGAAGCUAUCAAAAUGAAAAUGAACUCUGAAGAGGAAGAACUGCAGGUUUACUGUU
Long non-coding RNA from Penaeus monodon (black tiger shrimp), 1113 nucleotides. RefSeq lists it as uncharacterized. The record is from RefSeq and is a predicted model, not a curated record. The transcript has 5 exons. NCBI's taxonomy places the organism in Eukaryota, Metazoa, Arthropoda, Malacostraca, Decapoda, Penaeidae.